GCAGUGUAGACUUGCUGCUGAAGCAAUGUGCUGUUCCUAAGGACUUGUGCAAACUGGACACCAGCUCCCAAAGCAACACCUCAGCCCCCAGCAAGCGGCAAUCUCAUCUUGCUGAGCGAUGGAGGCAAGAAAAGCCACCAGACAGGAUGAUGCUGAGCUGCCCAAAACCCUCGAGUCCCUGUCUGAACGCAUCAGGGCCCUGCUAACAGUGCUGGAAGCCCAGCAGCAACGGCUCCAGGAAAAGACUGCCAGCCUUGACCUGCUGAUGACGGAGCUCGCCGGACUGCGGGCCUCUCUCAAGGCACCUGCUGGGAUGGAGAACAGCUCCUUGGCUCUGCAGAAAGAGAAGAAUCACCCCUGAAGUGCUAGCUGGGUUGGCCUGGCCACCAGCCUGUUGCUGGAAGAACCCUUCACAUAAGCAUGCUUGCUGUCCAGGAAAUAUGUAGCCCUUUCUCUUUUGAGCUCUGCUAAGCUGGCUUUGCUUUGUCCCCUGAUGCUUGCAGCAUGGAAAUAAAGUGAUUUAUGUGCCCCUUUGCCACUCUAGGAAAAACUGCAGCCCUGCCCCAGCCAAGAGCAAGUUAACCAACCAGCCCCUGUAACCUGCAGGCAGCAGAGACUUGCUGACCCAAGGCUGUAAGUGAAAGAGGAAAGGGAAUUUCCCUUCCUGCCCUUAAUUUUACACUAAAAAUGCAGCA
Gavialis gangeticus (Gharial) is the source of this 695-nucleotide long non-coding RNA. RefSeq lists it as uncharacterized. The transcript is spliced from 4 exons. The record is from RefSeq and is a predicted model, not a curated record. Lineage: Eukaryota; Metazoa; Chordata; Crocodylia; Gavialidae.